AAGCUGCCGGCGGAGGGCAGACAGCGGCCAGAGACCGAUCCCUAAUGAGAGCGCAGCGCGUGCAGAGGCGCGAAGCUGGGAGCUGAAACUCGCCUGGGUUGUGCGCACAAGUCUGGGGCAAGCGAACAGAAAAGUGGAGCGCAACCCAGGGGCGUUGGGGUCCGCUCAGGUCGCGCGCGUGCUAGGCCCACGGGCUGAAGUUGGAGCGCGCGGCCCGCUGGAGCGAGCAGCGCUGCGGGCCGAGUAAUGGCAAUGCAGAUGCAGAUUGAAGCAAAUGCAGAUACUUCAGUGGAAGAAGAAAGCUUUGGCCCACAACCUGUUUCACGGUUAGAGCAGUGUGGCAUAAAUGCCAAUGAUGUGAAAAAAUUGGAAGAAGCUGGAUUCCAUACUGUGGAGGCUGUUGCCUAUGCACCAAAGAAGGAGCUAAUAAAUAUUAAGGGAAUUAGUGAAGCCAAAGCUGAUAAAAUUCUGGCUGAAGCAGCCAAAUUAGUUCCAAUGGGUUUCACCGCUGCAACUGAAUUCCACCAAAGGCGGUCAGAGAUCAUACAGAUUACUACUGGCUCUAAAGAGCUUGACAAACUACUUCAAGGUGGAAUUGAGACUGGCUCUAUCACAGAAAUGUUUGGAGAAUUCCGAACUGGGAAGACCCAGAUCUGUCAUACACUGGCUGUCACCUGCCAGCUUCCCAUUGACCGGGGCAGAGGUGUAGGAAAGGCCAUGUACAUUGACACCAAGGGUACCUUUAGGCCAGAACGGCUGCUAGCAGUGGCUGAGAGGUAUGGUCUCUCUGGUAGUGAUGUCCUGGAUAAUGUAGCAUAUGCUCGAGCAUUCAACACAGACCACCAGACCCAGCUCCUUUAGCAAGCAUCAGCCAUGAUGGUAGAAUCUAGGUAUGCACUGCUUAUUGUAGACAGUGCCACCGCCCUUUACAGAACAGACUACUCGGGCUUUCAGCCAGGCAGAUGCACUUGGCCAGGUUUCUGCGGAUGCUUCUGCGACUUGCUGAUGAGUUUGGUGUAGCAGUGGUAACCACUAAUCAGGUGGUAGCCCAGGUGGAUGGAGCAGCCAUGUUUGCGGCCGAUCCCAAAAAACCUAUUGGAGGAAACAUCAUCGCCCAUGCAUCAACAACCAGGUAAGAUUGUAUCUGAGGAAAGGAAGAGGGGAAACCAGAAUCUGCAAAAUCUACGACUCUCCCUGUCUUCCUGAAGCUGAAGCUAUGUUUGCCAUCAAUGCAGAUGGAGUGGGAGAUGCCAAAGACUGAAUCAUUGGUUUUUUUUCCUGUUAAAAACCUUAAGUGCUGUAGCCUAAUGGGAGUGCACUGCACUGCUCCCUGGUGUUCUCCACAAGCCUCUUCCUGUUUUGACUACCAGGAAAAGGCUUCUGGGAAAACAGCUAUUGUAUCAGCUUUUCUGAUGGUGUAAACAGGAGACAGCUAAGUAGUCACAAACUAAUCUAAACUGUGUAUUCCUCUGGGUGUAUUAAUCUCU
RNA transcript from Callithrix jacchus (white-tufted-ear marmoset), 1487 nucleotides. It is a transcript of the gene named DNA repair protein RAD51 homolog 1 pseudogene, with no coding region annotated. The record is from RefSeq and is a predicted model, not a curated record. NCBI's taxonomy places the organism in Eukaryota, Metazoa, Chordata, Mammalia, Primates, Cebidae.